UAGUUUCCAAAGUGCAUGGUUGGGCAAGAAAAAAUUCUGUUGGAAAGGAAGGAGUAGCUAAAAUAAUUGAUGAUAUUUACAGAAAAUUGCAGGUUCCUGGGGCUACUGAUUUAGCAUCAAAGGGACAGAGUGGUUCUGAUCUUAAUAAUGUAAAGCUUAAAGAGGAAGUUGAUGAUUCUUUUCAAUUGGAUAUGAAGAUUCGUUGUCCAUGUGGAAGUUCAUUGGCUACUGAGUCUAUGAUUCAGUGUGAAGAUCCACGAUGCCAUGUGUGGCAACACAUUGCUUGCGUUAUCAUCCCAGAGAAACCUAUGGAGGGUCUUCCGCCAGUUCCACUUCAAUUUUAUUGUGAAAUCUGUCGACUCAGUCGAGCAGAUCCGUAUGUGCAGUCUAUUUUUCUUGUGUAUUUGUGAAUUUACUUUAUUCAUUAUAUAGAUAUGGAGGAACUUCUCUUAGGUUGUAUAAUUGUUCUUUUUCUUUGAUUGGGACAGUAUUAUUGUUCUUUGUCUUUUAUUAUUGAUAGUUUACAAAGGUUAAGGCCACAUUUGGUUAAAUUUCUAUUUCAAACAAUCACUAUUUGAAGAACGAAUUUUGAGCCUAAAAA
Non-coding RNA from Nelumbo nucifera (sacred lotus), 601 nucleotides. The record is from RefSeq and is a predicted model, not a curated record. Lineage: Eukaryota; Viridiplantae; Streptophyta; Magnoliopsida; Proteales; Nelumbonaceae.